UUACUGAUGAAGAAACAAGGUCACAGGUGCAAUCGAUCUUAGAAGCUGACACAAAAUCACAACUGCAGGUUGCAGUUGCACAGGCAGGCAGCUUGAUCAGUCUUGCUGGUCACAAUGUUUGCAUAACACUGGAAAACAAACAAGAAACUGCUUUGGAUUUGGCUCACUGGUAUGUCCUCCAGCGAACCCGUGCACCUUUUGAAAGGUUCAGAGAUGGCUUGAGGUCUCUAGGUGUCCUAGAUGCUCUACAGAAAUAUCCUCUUCAGAUGAAGUGCCUUUUCGUGAAAGCUGGAAAAGCUCUGAAAGC
Long non-coding RNA from Archocentrus centrarchus (flier cichlid), 307 nucleotides. RefSeq lists it as uncharacterized. The record is from RefSeq and is a predicted model, not a curated record. The transcript has 3 exons. NCBI's taxonomy places the organism in Eukaryota, Metazoa, Chordata, Actinopteri, Cichliformes, Cichlidae.